This 744-nucleotide ribosomal RNA is filed under the name Sarcocystis fusiformis. RNAcentral describes it as "SSU rRNA". It matches the Rfam family "Eukaryotic small subunit ribosomal RNA", at positions 189 to 887 of the family's 1831-position model. The record is from RNAcentral. Lineage: Eukaryota; Apicomplexa; Conoidasida; Eucoccidiorida; Sarcocystidae.
UCGGGGGUAUAGUAGUGUUUAUUAGAUACAGAACCAAUACACCUUUUUUAAAGGGUGUAGAAAAAGGUGAUUCAUAGUAACCGAACGGAUCGCAUUAUAAUCAUUUCGAUGAUUGGCGAUAGAUCAUUCAAGUUUCUGACCUAUCAGCUUUCGACGGUAGUGUAUUGGACUACCGUGGCAGUGACGGGUAACGGGGAAUUAGGGUUCGAUUCCGGAGAGGGAGCCUGAGAAACGGCUACCACAUCUAAGGAAGGCAGCAGGCGCGCAAAUUACCCAAUCCUGACUCAGGGAGGUAGUGACAAGAAAUAACAACACUGGAAAUUCUAUUUCUAGUGAUUGGAAUGAUGGGAAUCCAAACCCCUUUCAGAGUAACAAUUGGAGGGCAAGUCUGGUGCCAGCAGCCGCGGUAAUUCCAGCUCCAAUAGCGUAUAUUAAAGUUGUUGCAGUUAAAAAGCUCGUAGUUGGAUAUCUGCUGGAAGCAAUCAGUCCGCCCUUUUAGUGAGGGUGUGUACUUGAUGAAUUCUGGCAUGAUUAUCUUCCCACUAAUAAUAUUAUUAUAUUAGGUUAAUUCCUAAUAUGGUAAUAAUUAUUUUUGGGAAGACACAGUAGUUACUUUGAGAAAAUUAGAGUGUUUGAAGCAGGCUUGUUGCCUUGAAUACUGCAGCAUGGAAUAACAAUAUAGGAUUUCGGUUCUAUUUUGUUGGUUUCUAGGACUGAAAUAAUGAUUAAUAGGGACAGUUGGGG